This 459-nucleotide ribosomal RNA is filed under the name uncultured bacterium. Its description in RNAcentral is "partial 16S ribosomal RNA". It matches the Rfam family "Bacterial small subunit ribosomal RNA", at positions 338 to 795 of the family's 1533-position model. The record is from RNAcentral.
CCUACGGGGGGCAGCAGUGAGGAAUAUUGGUCAAUGGACGAGAGUCUGAACCAGCCAAGUAGCGUGAAGGAUGACUGCCCUAUGGGUUGUAAACUUCUUUUAUAAAGGAAUAAAACGAGGCACGUGUGCCUUUUUGCAUGUACUUUAUGAAUAAGGAUCGGCUAACUCCGUGCCAGCAGCCGCGGUAAUACGGAGGAUGCGAGCGUUAUCCGGAUUUAGUGGGUUUAAAGGGUGCGUAGGCGGGCUUUUAAGUCAGCGGUAAAAAUUCGGGGCUCAACCCCGUCCGGCCGUUGAAACUGGGGGACUUGAGGGGGCGAGAAGAAGGCGGAAUGCGUGGUGUAGCGGUGAAAUGCAUAGAUAGCACGCAGAACCCAGAUUGAGAAGGCAGCCUUCCGGCGCCCUACUGACGCUGAGGCACGAAAGUGCGGGGAUCGAACAGGAUUAGAUACCCGAGUAGUC